This is a long non-coding RNA of Acipenser ruthenus (sterlet), 1555 nucleotides long. RefSeq lists it as uncharacterized. The record is from RefSeq and is a predicted model, not a curated record. The transcript is spliced from 4 exons. Lineage: Eukaryota; Metazoa; Chordata; Actinopteri; Acipenseriformes; Acipenseridae.
ACUCUCCCUCAGUCUUCCACUCUCCUCCAGGCUUUAGAAACUCUCAAUAUCAUCCCACACCUGAUGCGUCAUGUGACCAGCGAGACAUGUGUGCAACUAUUCAGCAGCAAUCAUCGGAAAACAGGAUCUCAGACAGUGACUUCACAAGGGUCGAUAGACACGGGUGCCUGUGCAGCCAGCUCGAAUCUUAGAAAAGUUUCCCAUCGUCCAAGCACAGCAAAGUGUAAUUACCACAGCAAGGACCUCCAGCAGACUCACAGCAUUGUGGCCUGAUCAAUGGGCUUCGCUGGAGUCAAAGUGAAGAGAAAAGACAUCAGGAAAAUAAAGAAAGGGGAGGAUCGGUACGCUGGAGAGAGGGAUGAAAGGAGGACAGGAGGAGCAUUAAAGAUCUGAGCUAGCCGACGGUGCCCUUAUUGAACCAGGUUAAGAGCUUCACUCAGGAAGUCAGGAAGAGAUUUGCCUUUAAUUGCAGACAGCUCUCAAGCAGUGGGAAUGUCUCCAACCUGCAUCCCCAGGUGCUGGGGUCAGGGGUCAGCCCUUUGUCAUGGGGCACCGCCGCCGGGGCCAAUGGAAUCCCGCCGUUGCCAUGGGCUUCUUCGACGACAGCACAGGACAGAGAGAGCCUGGCAGCGAAAUGAACUGCAUUUUAACUUCAAGGGGAGCUCUGUGGGGCCCCUGGGGGUCGUGCACCUCUGACCCCCACUGACCUGCGGAAGGUAUGCGAGUCUGGAAACAGAAUAAAGAUGUGUUGAGGGAGAGCUGAUCCCCUGCAAAACUGCAAAACUGCAAAACUACCGCCCCAAAAAAAACAUGUUUUUAACAUGCUUUACCGUACCUCUAUAAGGCUGCACACUGACGCCGCACACAUACAAUAGGAAUGGAGCGCUUCCCACAAUGCCUUUCUCCAGUACGUUAGACUAAAUGUUUAGCCAUGUGUAAUCCUAAAGUUAAGGACAUUAAUGUGAAACCAGCACGGCCUCUGUCUGUCUCUGUGGUUUGUCUCCUCUCUCCUCCGCAGUGGAGGAAGGCAUUGCUGGCAGGCGCAGGGAGAGUGUCUGGGCAGGAUGCCCAGGCGAGGGAGGCUGGCGGUGCUGUGAUGGACUGUGUGGACAGCACUGACACACUCAAUCACAGCCUUCCCUGACAGGGCAGGGAAACAGAGAGACACGCUGGGCAGCGCACAGCCCUAUAGAGGCAGGGGCUGCCAGUGAAAGACUUCAGUUACAGAUUCAAGCAACACAGAACGGUAUAGAAAUGGUUUAAACAGAGGGGCUGGUUCAUUAUCUCCUCUGUGCUUGUCCCAUGUCUUCUUUCACUGUGUAGGAAUGCAUUUUGCUAUCUUUUCACCGCUGCGUGCCGCAGUACACUUUGAGAAAGGUAAAAACAUUUUUCAGCCUUUGUUUGGAAGGAAGGCAGCACGGACGACAGACUCACAAGGCCUGGCAAGAAAGAGAAAAUCCUUUUUCACAGACUUGCCAAUUCUCAGGAAUUUUUUUCCCCAGGGAGCGAGUCUCAUUUUUCCUUGGCACUCGCUGUUUGGCACCUGACAACUCAC